RNAcentral lists this ribosomal RNA (253 nucleotides) under uncultured bacterium. RNAcentral describes it as "partial 16S ribosomal RNA". It matches the Rfam family "Bacterial small subunit ribosomal RNA", at positions 524 to 776 of the family's 1533-position model. The record is from RNAcentral.
UACGGAGGGGGUUAGCGUUGUUCGGAAUGACUGGGCGUAAAGCGCGCGUAGGCGGAUCGGCAAGUCAGGGGUGAAAUCCCGGGGCUCAACCCCGGCACGGCCUUUGAGACUGCCGGUCUGGAGUUCGAGAGAGGUGGGUGGAAUUCCGAGUGUAGAGGUGAAAUUCGUAGAUAUUCGGAGGAACACCAGUGGCGAAGGCGGCUCACUGGACCGGUAUUGACGCUGAGGUGCGAAAGCGUGGGGAGCAAACAGG